UUAUUACUUACAAUACAUUCGUCAUGUAUAUAUAUUAAUUAACCAAAAGCACCACAGUGGAAAUUGGACGUAACACCGACGUAGGUAAUCGCAUCAUAAUGUUAAGGUGGGCGGGUAUUUGGCUUGACAAGAAGACAGACGAUGGACCAAAGCAAUCACAGAAUGGUGGCCAAGAGGAGGCAAAAAGGCCAGUGGGCAGACCACCAGCCCGAUGGUCUGAGAUUUGCGGGAUCGCGCUGGAUACUAAUGGCGCAGGAGUCUCAUGUGGGGAUCGAAUAUUGGCUCUAUAAAGAAGAAGCCCAUGCCCAGCAGUGGGUUGAUGUUAGCUGACCAUGAUGAUGAUGAUGAUGAUGACCAUCAACACCUUCACUUUGAAACCGCUGGCAGUCCUCUCAAUACUCUUCAUAUCAGCAACCUGUACCCUCAUUCACCAGAUACCAGUACCAAUUCUUUUACAACAAAUCGUACCACAAAUUUUGCCUCAACACAAUCCUAACUACAACUUCGCGUACAGCGUGAACGAACCUCGAACAGGAGACAUUAAAGACCAACAAGAAAGCAGAAGAGGUGAUACUGUCGUUGGGCAAUAUUCUUUAAUCCAACCUGAUGGUGUCAGAAGAACGGUUGAUUAUCGUGCUGAUGGCAUCAGAGGCUUCCGAGCUACAGUGAACAAUGAAAGGCAGAAUGAGAGACAAAUAGAAAAUUACGACGAGCAAAGAGAGAUAGAUGACCAGAGAGUAAUCGUGCAUCCUCAAAUUCCACAAAUGCAAAUUUCUACCCCGUUACCAGCGUUGUCUAGGACAUCGAUAAUGCAGACAUUCCAAACCAGCCGUCCUGUCCAAUAUCAGAACAGUCUAUGGGAUUAAAACAAUUUACUUUAGUUUGACUAGUGAUAUUUGGACCCUGAAAUGGUAACCGUAGAAUUGAUUUCGAAACCUAACUUAUUUGUUUUUAACAAAGUAAUGGCACAAAAACGCGACGAAACAUGGACACCGAUUCUUUGAUAAACAUUGCAAAUUACUAUAACUAUGUAUACUUUUCAAAUAGAUAUAAACACAAAGUGUGUUCGUAGAAACUAUUUAAAAAAAAAUCAAUUAACAAACGAAGGAUUCUACAUUUUAGGUCAACAAAAUGUACAUGUUAUACAGCAUUAAUUUGCAUUUACUCGUAAACCGUAUUUAAAUUCAACUUCUAGAUUUGUCUUUGCAACUUUGCAAUUGGAAGUCCCUUAUUUCCCUUUUAAAAUGCAUGAAGGCUUUGGGUCUUUGUGGAGAAUGAUAAUUAGUUCAUAAUUGGUGACUGGAGUGGGUAGCCUUGUGGUUUUACUGAGUCAGGGAAAUUGCCUUAGCAAUGUCCGAGAAGUGUAAUGCCUUGGCUAGGAUAUAAAUGCUUCCAUUUAUCUUUCUGUAUAUGUAUUGUGUUAGUUUGAUGAAAUAAAAUAAAACUUUUGAUAUUAUAUUGUUGACGUUUUUACUUUAUCACAAAUGUGAAAUAUAUUUAUGUGGACAAUGAUAAUCUUGGCAUUAGAAAGCACCUUCUUGGACUUGGAUGUCUAAAUAUCACAUCUUGUCUGAAAUUUCUUGCUCUAAUUUAUUGUUGGUUUGACAGUAAGUGGCCUUUGAAAUUUGUGAGAAUACGUAAGGUUUAUGAUCCAUGCUAAUGCGUUCUGUUAUAAGCUCUAAAAAAGCUAUAAAAAAAUAGGCUGUACAUAUCUCAUUUUAACCGAGCAUCAGUGAAGCCAUAACGAUUACACCUUCCACACGAAAACAACAAUUUAUUAGUAUUCACUUAUUCUCUAUAUAGAGUAAACAAUUUGCUGAGACCUUUUACUGGGGAGCAUCGGCCCUAUGUGAACUUGACUUUUAGACAUUUCCUGAAGUUCUUAAACGAGUUGCUCGAUAUAAAACUGGAUCUGGAAUAAAUAAGGAUUGUAUAAAAAGAUUGAGAUGAUCAGCGGAAAGCAUCAGACAUCAACAAUCAGUCGACGUAGUCACAACUACAUUUCUACCCCAAAAAUGGUUGCGAAGUUCGUCCUCAUUCUCGCCCUCGUGGCCGCCGCUACCACUUCCGAUAUCUCCAGCUUCUCGUACGGUGUCGCUGACCCUUACACCGGCGACUUCAAACAUCAGACAGAAACCCGCGCUGGUGACAAUGUU
Molecule: RNA transcript, 2156 nt
Organism: Hyposmocoma kahamanoa
Lineage: Eukaryota; Metazoa; Arthropoda; Insecta; Lepidoptera; Cosmopterigidae
Gene name: larval/pupal rigid cuticle protein 66-like
Exons: 4
Source: RefSeq, a predicted model, not a curated record